UGAUGGUACUGAAUAAAGAAACUUUAGUUGAUUUACAAGAAAAAUAUGAAAAAGUACGAAAAUUACUUGAUGAAGACAGUAAAAAUGAUCCAGAAAAUGAACCAUAUUUAUCGAAAUAUGCGGCACGCCAAAUAUUAACAUCCAUGAAAAGUAAUUUAACAAAAUUACUCGAUGACACUGUACGCAAUACGUUGGAUUAUCAUCAUUUAACCGGUUUAUUAAGUAUUGUAUGGUUAAAUUUGGGUAUAAUAUCGGUUGAAACUGAAGAAUUAUCAACUGGUGAGGAACAACUUAUGAAUUGUUUACGAUGCUUAGAGGAACAUGAAUGUCAUCCAGAUUUUAUUCUGGUCGCUUUAUGUGCUCUCAAUCAAUUGGGUAUAUUGUGGUCAGAACGUGAAAAUUCGCUGAAAUCAAAAGAGUAUUUAGAUCGGGCCGAAAAACUGUAUCUUGAUUUCAAGAAAUCCAAACAAAAUCCAGUCGAUAUGUCAGAUUUGUUUAAUGUCUCGAAAGAUAAUAUUCACGUGGAUACAGGCUUAAUUUUGGAGAAAACGUAUACGCUAACUUUAUACUAUUUGGCUCAAAUAUGUAGUGCACUGAAAGAGGAAAUAAAAUCCUCAGUUUAUUAUCAUAUAACUUUGAAACGACAACUUGAGAGUAAAGACUAUGAACCAAUCGAAUGGGCUUUAAAUUCAGCAACAUUGUCCCAAUUUUUUAUGAAAAAACAUGGCUUCAAACAAGCGAGACAUCAUUUAGCAGCUGCAUCGUAUAUUUUAGAUAAAUAUGAGGCUGAUUUACAACAGACUGAAGAGACUGAGGAAGUUAUGAAUGCGAAAAAAGAACGUUUGCGCCACCGUGGUGCUGAUGUAGCACGAUGUUGGGCUAAAUAUGGUUUGCUUUUAUUGAAUGUUUCUCGAGAUCGUUUAAUGGAAAGCGAUGAAAUCGAGUCAAACGAUAUAUGUACACUAUCAUCAGAUUUAGCUGAAUUACAGUUAAAUUCCGAAAUUAAAACAGAUAUUUCUCAAAUGUUUUUCCCACUAGAGCUAUCAGCCUACGAAGAACAAGUCACGGAUAAAUUUGUCUUAACAUUUGAAGAUGCUAAACCAGUAUUUUUGAACGUACAAUCUUGGUUGAAUAAAGCGAAAGAAUAUUACACAUUAGAGGACCAUGCUUCUGACCACGUUUCCGUGGUACAAGAUAUUAGUCAAGCAUAUAAGGCACUAAUAUUUUUCGAAGAUGACGAAGAACGCCAAUGUAAGAUGUUAAAACGGCGAAUCGAUAACUUGGAACCAGUUGUUAAGGAAUUAAAUCCUACUUACUAUAUGUUGGUAUGUCGACAAAUGUGGUACGAGUUAGCCGAAAUUUAUGGUGAUAUGUUAGAUAUUAAAUUCGAUAAACUACAAAAUUCUCAAAGUGUUCCCACAGCGCAUAUGUUAAAAAAGAUUUACAUUCUUGCAGAAAAAAGUAUUGAGAAUUUUAAUCACUUUUUAAAUUCGUUAAAGGAAAUUUCAACAAAUUCGUUACCGAAAAAUGUUCCAGAAGAUUUAGUACGACCAAUGUUAGUUGCAUACUUUCAUAUUGGACGAAUAUAUGGUAAAAUGAUUACGGCGGAUAAACGACAGCAAUUAAUUAAUACGGAGAAAAGCUAUGAAGCUUAUGAAAACUUGGUGAAUUAUUGUGAUCGCGAUGAAGAAGCGGCAAAAAUGAUGAAUGCUGAAUUGGGUGUUUGUAGAUCGAUGGUACAAUUAUUACCGUUUAAAAUUGAGAAAUUACGCCGACAAAUUGGAUCAACUGAAAUUGUGACGGAAUAAUUUUUUUUUAUCGGCUAUCAACUUGAAUUUGUUUUUUUUUUUGUAUAAAGUUGUAAAUGUUAAUUUUUCGUUAAUAAUGUAAACUUAUUUUUUGCUUUAUUUUUUUAAACGUUUACUUUUUUUCUAUUUCGAAUAUAUUUACACGCCUUCGUAAACAAAUGCAACCAGCAAAAAGUGUUUUAUGGCAAAUAUACGUAUAUCCUGCUUCAAUGAUCAUUCACAUUGCAUUUGGAGCAGUUUUAUUUGCUAUCUGUUUAGUUUGUUGGAUGUAUGAGAAUCAA
RNA transcript from Chrysoperla carnea, 2089 nucleotides. It is a transcript of the gene named protein RFT1 homolog, with no coding region annotated. Lineage: Eukaryota; Metazoa; Arthropoda; Insecta; Neuroptera; Chrysopidae. The record is from RefSeq and is a predicted model, not a curated record. The transcript is spliced from 2 exons.